UGUUCAAAAUCUUGCAAGCUGUUCUUUCAUUUAUUUCAUCUUGAUUUAGUUGUUUCAGGUUGGAGGGUAAAUAUCUAUAAGAAGUUGAAGGUCCUAAGAGACUUCUCUCCUUGAGAUACCCUCCUCAUUUGUCUUCCAUAGAAUUUAUAUAUUCUGCUUUUACCUGUUACCUCUGGCUGUUUCUUCUCCAUCUUUCAAAUCUGUAACCCCUAAAGCAGUGGUAAAGAAUCUGCCUGCCAAUCAGGAGGCACAAAAGAUGCAUGUUCAAUACCUUGGUGGGGAAGAUCCCCUGGAAGAGGGCAUGGCAACCCACUCCAGUAUUCUUACCUGGAGAAGAUAUUAAAAGAUAUUCUUGUCUGGAUUUCUGGAGCUUAGAAGCCCAAGAUCAAGGUGCUGGAAAAUUCUGUUUCUGAGUACAUCAUGAGAAAUGCUGGACUGAAUGAAGCACAAGCUGCAAUCAAGAUUGCUGGGAAAAAUAUCAAAACCCUCAGAUAUGCAGAUGACACCAUAACUUUUCUCUCAAGGAGUGGCAAGAUACAGCAAGGAACAGAUAGCCAUGAUGCCCACUCUCCAAGAA
Bos taurus (domestic cattle) is the source of this 577-nucleotide long non-coding RNA. The record is from Ensembl. NCBI's taxonomy places the organism in Eukaryota, Metazoa, Chordata, Mammalia, Artiodactyla, Bovidae.